CGAAGGGUGCAAGCGUUACUCGGAAUUACUGGGCGUAAAGCGUGCGUAGGUGGUUCGUUAAGUCUGCCGUGAAAGCCCCGGGCUCAACCUGGGAAUGGCGGUGGAUACUGGCCGACUAGAGUGCGGUAGAGGGUGGUGGAAUUCCCGGUGUAGCAGUGAAAUGCGUAGAGAUCGGGAGGAACAUCUGUGGCGAAGGCGGCCACCUGGACCAGCACUGACACUGAGGCACGAAAGCGUGGGGAGCAAACAGGAUUAGAUACCCUGGUAGUCCACGCCCUAAACGAUGCGAACUGGACGUUGGGAGCAACUAGGCUCUCAGUGUCGAAGCUAACGCGUUAAGUUCGCCGCCUGGGGAGUACGGUCGCAAGACUG
This 372-nucleotide ribosomal RNA is filed under the name uncultured organism. RNAcentral describes it as "bacterial SSU rRNA". It matches the Rfam family "Bacterial small subunit ribosomal RNA", at positions 526 to 896 of the family's 1533-position model. The record is from RNAcentral.